CUGCCAUUCGAUCCCUCUACCGGAUCAUAUGUUUACUUCUUCCCUCAAGGAUAUGCGCAUAGUGUCGGUAAAUCCUUGAACUCUGAAUUAAUAGAUUGCUCAAAACAGAUCGUUGGUCAGGGCGCCUAUCUUUGUCAGAUUUUUUCAAUCAGCUUUCUUGCUGAUGAUGAAUACGAGGAAGUUUGUGCGAAGAUAAAGUUGAUAACCGUCAAAGACAACGCCGUGAUUCUUGAUCAAUUUGGAGCUUUUGAAAGGGAAAAUAGAGAGGUUUUUUUUAAUGAAAACUCUCACUGA
This is a non-coding RNA of Vicia faba (fava bean), 294 nucleotides long. The record is from the annotation of a GenBank genome assembly. Lineage: Eukaryota; Viridiplantae; Streptophyta; Magnoliopsida; Fabales; Fabaceae.